This 75-nucleotide transfer RNA is filed under the name compost metagenome. RNAcentral's name for it is "tRNA-Arg". It matches the Rfam family "tRNA". From Rfam's summary of the family: Transfer RNA (tRNA) molecules are approximately 80 nucleotides in length. Their secondary structure includes four short double-helical elements and three loops (D, anti-codon, and T loops). Further hydrogen bonds mediate the characteristic L-shaped molecular structure. tRNAs have two regions of fundamental functional importance: the anti-codon, which is responsible for specific mRNA codon recognition, and the 3' end, to which the tRNAs corresponding amino acid is attached (by aminoacyl-tRNA synthetases). tRNAs cope with the degeneracy of the genetic code in two manners: having more than one tRNA (with a specific anti-codon) for a particular amino acid; and 'wobble' base-pairing, i.e. permitting non-standard base-pairing at the 3rd anti-codon position. The record is from RNAcentral.
GCUGGUAGGGUGUGUGGGAUGCACAAGAGUCUUCUAAGCUCUAAGGGCUAGGUUCGAAUCCUAGUGCCAGCGCCA